RNAcentral lists this long non-coding RNA (299 nucleotides) under Elaeis guineensis (African oil palm). Its description in RNAcentral is "long non-coding RNA (EGUI_LNC042028)". Lineage: Eukaryota; Viridiplantae; Streptophyta; Magnoliopsida; Arecales; Arecaceae. The record is from RNAcentral.
CCAAUGUCCACACAUCGUUGACCUUCAUGGACUCCAUUUCGGAUUUCAUGGUCUCUAGUCAUUUCUCAGAGUCAGGUCUCUGCAUUGCAUCUAUGUAGGUGAUCGGAUCCUCAUCGUUUUCAUCAAGUUCGACAGGAUCUCCAUCCCGGACCAAGAAACCAUAGUAUCUGUCCGGUUGAUGUGGUACUCUACCAGACCACCUUAAGGGUGCAUAAUCAAUGGGCUCCGGAUCUGAUCUAAUCAAAUCCGGUUCAGGUUCAGUAACAUGUGUCAGUUUUUUCACCUGUCGAACUUCGUCN